UUUGGACACUAGUUUUUCAACGUUCGCUUGAUUCAUCCUUGCGCUAUAAUAAACACUACCCUAACCUAGCAACUUUCCUUACGACACGACAUGCACGUGAGAGGAAAAUGUGUGUCUCAAUCACAUUUCAUCAUGUAUGUUAUAAUAGAUAGAGAUGGACUGUAUAUGGAAAGUCGAGCGACACAGUUAUAUAUUAAGACUAAAUUAACUAAUGGCUUGUGUAAAAGGUUGGCCAAGUUGUGCUAACGUACUUAUAAAUCAGUAAUAAGAAGAAUGAUAUUAAAGAUUAUUGCAUUUAUUACCUUUUAUUUAUUCAUUUGAAAUUAUAACAGAAAAGAUGUAUUGAGGACAAUAACAUACGCGACGUAUAAUACUACGCGCAGCAGACUGUAUUAUCUAUUAUAAAUAACUGCAAGAUUUCUCACAUUGCUGUGUGUAUGUACAGCGAAUAAAAGUCAGCGUUGCUUUUUGGUCAAUUAAAUGCUAUCUCUGCUUCCACGACACACUUGAUGCAUUGA
Long non-coding RNA from Odontomachus brunneus, 518 nucleotides. RefSeq lists it as uncharacterized. The transcript is spliced from 2 exons. NCBI's taxonomy places the organism in Eukaryota, Metazoa, Arthropoda, Insecta, Hymenoptera, Formicidae. The record is from RefSeq and is a predicted model, not a curated record.